RNAcentral lists this ribosomal RNA (406 nucleotides) under uncultured bacterium. RNAcentral describes it as "partial 16S ribosomal RNA". It matches the Rfam family "Bacterial small subunit ribosomal RNA", at positions 30 to 526 of the family's 1533-position model. The record is from RNAcentral.
AUUGAACGCUGGCGGCAUGCUUUACACAUGCAAGUCGGACGAGUGGCGAACGGGUGAGUAAUAUAUCGGAACGUACCGAGUAAUGGGGGCUAACUAAUCGAAAGAUUAGCUAAUACCGCAUAUUAUUCGAGCGGCCGAUAUGUGAUUAGCUAGUUGGUGGGGUAAAGGCCUACCAAGGCGACGAUUAGUAGCGGGUCUGAGAGGAUGAUCCGCCACACUGGGACGGAGACCAGGCCCAGACCCAUCAGGGAGGCAGCAGUGGGGAAUUUUGGACAAUGGGCGCAAGCCUGAUCCAGCCAUGCCGCGUGUCUUAAGAAGGCCUUCGGGUUGUAAAGGUCUUUUGUCAGGGAAGCGGUACCUGAAGAAUAAGCACCGGCUAACUACGUGCCAGCAGCCGCGGUAAUUC